Molecule: ribosomal RNA, 436 nt
Filed under: uncultured bacterium
Lineage: Bacteria
Description: bacterial SSU rRNA
Rfam family: Bacterial small subunit ribosomal RNA
Source: RNAcentral
GGGCCCGCACAAGCGGUGGAGUAUGUGGUUUAAUUCGAUGCAACGCGAAGAACCUUACCUAGGCUUGACAUGCUUGUUGUACUCUCCCGAAAAGGAGAGGUCACUUCGGGUGGACAAUGCACAGGUGCUGCAUGGCCGUCGUCAGCUCGUGUCGUGAGAUGUUUGGUUAAGUCCAGCAACGAGCGCAACCCCUGUGAACUGUUGCCAGCGCGUAAAGGCGGGGACUCUGUUCAGACUGCCCAGAUCAACUGGGAGGAAGGUGGGGACGACGUCAGGUCAGUAUGGCCCUUACGCCUAGGGCUGCACACGUACUACAAUGCCCAGCACAAUGAGAACCGAGACCGCAAGGUGGAGGAAAUCUGCAAAACUGGGCCCAGUUCGGAUUGGAGGCUGCAACUCGCCUCCAUGAAGUCGGAAUCGCUAGUAAUGGCACAUC